CCACAUCUGAUCUCCCAAAUUAACCAGAUUAAUCAAGAGUCGAAACCCUUUUGCUAAUCAUCAGUCAUAAUUAAUACAAUAAUUAACCAGACUUACGUUACGUCGCCGUUUCGAGGUCAUGGGUUUUGUAGCACGAAGAAAGUCGAGCAGUACCGUGGUUUGCUGCAUCCUUUUGGUUUUGGUUAUUUCGGCUUCUUGCUUUCAGCCUGCUGAAAUGAGGAUGUUGAAGGAAGAAUAUGGCGGCGGCGAUCAUGAUCGUCAUCAUCAUAACAAAUUACUAAUCGUGAUACAGUCUCUACAAAGGGGUCCGGUUCGAGGAUCGGGUCCGAAUCCAUGCACCAACAUCACGGGUCGGAACCGGGGAAUAUGCACCCGUGCUACCGUCGGUACCAUGAACGUCGCCGGCAAUACGUUCGUCCGGUCGCCUCCUCUAGCCGUCGCAGACAAAAGUGAAUCUUGGUCGUCGUGAAUAUUUUUGACUAUUUUUUGUUUUAUUAACACGCGACUUUUUUAUUUAAUUUAUUUGUUCUCGGACGUAUUUGUAUUUUUAAUUAUUUAAUUCUUUUUUUUAACCGUUUGUACUGAUAACUGCAAGUGUACGUAGACUGUGAAAAUAAUGUUGAGUUGUUCUCAAUCUCCAGUGUUUAUAUGAACAUAAUUUUUAAU
RNAcentral lists this long non-coding RNA (666 nucleotides) under Linum usitatissimum (flax). RNAcentral describes it as "long non-coding RNA (LUSI_LNC004017)". The record is from RNAcentral. Lineage: Eukaryota; Viridiplantae; Streptophyta; Magnoliopsida; Malpighiales; Linaceae.